Molecule: ribosomal RNA, 253 nt
Filed under: uncultured bacterium
Lineage: Bacteria
Description: partial 16S ribosomal RNA
Rfam family: Bacterial small subunit ribosomal RNA
Source: RNAcentral
UACAGAGGUCUCAAGCGUUGUUCGGAUUCAUUGGGCGUAAAGGGUGCGUAGGCGGCGCGGUAAGUCGGGUGUGAAAUCUCGGAGCUUAACUCCGAAACUGCAUUCGAUACUGCCGUGCUUGAGGACUGGAGAGGAGACUGGAAUUUACGGUGUAGCGGUGAAAUGCGUAGAUAUCGGGAGGAACACCGGUGGCGAAGGCGGCCAUCUGGACGGUAACUGACGCUGAGACGCGAAAGCGUGGGUAGCAAACGGG